Molecule: ribosomal RNA, 489 nt
Filed under: uncultured bacterium
Lineage: Bacteria
Description: bacterial SSU rRNA
Rfam family: Bacterial small subunit ribosomal RNA
Source: RNAcentral
AUGAACGCUAGCUACAGGCUUAACACAUGCAAGUCGAGGGGCAGCAUGGUCUUAGCUUGCUAAGGCCGAUGGCGACCGGCGCACGGGUGAGUAACACGUAUCCAACCUGCCGUCUACUCUUGGACAGCCUUCUGAAAGGAAGAUUAAUACAAGAUGGCAUCAUGAGUCCGCAUGUUCACAUGAUUAAAGGUAUUCCGGUAGACGAUGGGGAUGCGUUCCAUUAGAUAGUAGGCGGGGUAACGGCCCACCUAGUCUUCGAUGGAUAGGGGUUCUGAGAGGAAGAUCCCCCACAUUGGAACUGAGACACGGUCCAAACUCCUACGGGAGGCAGCAGUGAGGAAUAUUGGUCAAUGGGCGAGAGCCUGAACCAGCCAAGUCGCGUGGAGGAAGACUGCCCUACGGGUUGUAAACUCCUUUUACCUGGGAAUAACGGGCGCUACGCGUAGCGCUGUGCAUGUACCGGGAGAAUAAGCAUCGGCUAAUUCCGUG